RNAcentral lists this ribosomal RNA (253 nucleotides) under uncultured bacterium. RNAcentral describes it as "partial 16S ribosomal RNA". It matches the Rfam family "Bacterial small subunit ribosomal RNA", at positions 524 to 776 of the family's 1533-position model. The record is from RNAcentral.
UACGGGGGGAGCAAGCGUUGUUCGGAUUUACUGGGCGUAAAGGGCGCGUAGGCGGCCUCAUAAGUCCGUUGUGAAAGUCAAAGGCUCAACCUUUGAAAGCCGAUGGAUACUGUGAGGCUAGAGUCCGGAAGAGGCGAGUGGAAUUCCUGGUGUAGCGGUGGAAUGCGCAGAUAUCAGGAGGAACACCAAUAGCGAAGGCAGCUCGCUGGGACGGUACUGACGCUAAGGCGCGAAAGCGUGGGGAGCGAACAGG